UGGGGAAUAUUGGACAAUGGGCGCAAGCCUGAUCCAGCAAUGCCGCGUGUGUGAAGAAGGUUUUCGGAUUGUAAAGCACUUUCAGCGGGGACGAUGAUGACGGUACCCGCAGAAGAAGCCCCGGCUAACUUCGUGCCAGCAGCCGCGGUAAUACGAAGGGGGCAAGCGUUGCUCGGAAUGACUGGGCGUAAAGGGCGCGUAGGCGGUUGACGCAGUCAGAUGUGAAAUUCCUGGGCUUAACCUGGGGGCUGCAUUUGAUACGUGGCGACUAGAGUGUGAGAGAGGGUUGUGGAAUUCCCAGUGUAGAGGUGAAAUUCGUAGAUAUUGGGAAGAACACCGGUGGCGAAGGCGGCAACCUGGCUCAUGACUACCG
This 373-nucleotide ribosomal RNA is filed under the name uncultured Gluconacetobacter sp. RNAcentral's name for it is "bacterial SSU rRNA". It matches the Rfam family "Bacterial small subunit ribosomal RNA", at positions 355 to 745 of the family's 1533-position model. Lineage: Bacteria; Pseudomonadati; Pseudomonadota; Alphaproteobacteria; Acetobacterales; Acetobacteraceae. The record is from RNAcentral.